GAACAUUCAACAGUCAUCUGUGCUAACUAUCUGAGCCAUGCAGUCCCCAUUGUUCACUGCGAAGAGAAGCUUCUUUGAGGAAGGAGCUGGCCAAGAGCAAUUAUCCUCAGAUCAUCCAGCAAUUAUCACCUAAAAGGUGUGGAGUUUAAGCCAAGCAUGACAGUGUGAGGGUGUAAUCCCAGAACUUGUCCAGCGGAGGAAGAAGAAUUGGGUAUUCAAGCCUCCACCUGGCUACCUGGUGCCGUAAAAAUGAGUAAGGAAACUCUACAGAUUUAGUUUUUAGCAACUGCAGAAGAGCAGGCUUGUGUCUUGUCCUUUGGUGUGGGACUGGCAACUCACUGAUUUUUAAAGUACCAACACGCCCUCUUGUGGAAUGGAAAUUCAGAACAGCAGGUAUGAUCACCAUGGUAACCUGAAGAGCACUGGCACAUUGAAAAUGGAACCAAAGUGAAUACAUUUACCAGCUGUUUUCCUCAGGUGCUAACUUCCUCCACCAGAUCUCCUACCUAUCACACGAAAAGCCUUUUUUGUUAACUUUUCAAAAUCAUUCCGGUUGUCGUGAGACCAUGAGUUCAACCCGAGAAGAUUAAAAAUAAAAACAAACAAAGCAUCGCA
Molecule: non-coding RNA, 615 nt
Organism: Peromyscus maniculatus bairdii (prairie deer mouse)
Lineage: Eukaryota; Metazoa; Chordata; Mammalia; Rodentia; Cricetidae
Source: RefSeq, a predicted model, not a curated record